GUUCAUUGAUGAUCAAUUAUAGUUGAAAUCUCAAUUUAAUUUGUACUUUCCCAUUGCUUUUACUUACAUCUUAUUGGUGCAGGCUGAAAAGGUUCCUUUAGCAAUUGAUGGAGAUUCAUCCACUACAUAAUUACCUACACCAUCAAAGAUUGAUUGUGAUUUUUUAUGAUAUAUGGGAGAAAUUGAAGUUUGCCAUUUUUUAUUUUUGGAUUUCAUGGGAGUUUGUUUCCAUGUUGAUUCCAACAUUGAUUUGCUUUGUUUUUUUUUUUUAUAUUUUUGUUAAGCAUAAGAUAUGCAAUGUCAUUUUUGCACACAACAAGAAAGUUUAAAGAACAAACAUGUGAGAAUUAGACAACAUCUAUAGUUUUAGAAAGUUCAUGAGGUUUUAAGAUUAGUGAUUGAUGGAUCCUUUAUAUACAUAUGCUCACAACCAUUAUACAUGAUAAUAGGAAGAGGGAUCAAAGUGAUAUAAAAGUAUAAGUAUUAAUAAGUUGAUUUAACAGUUAAUAAACUAUAAGAAAUCAACACGAAUAAUUUAUACUGAUUCACCCAAGCUAGGGCUAGUCCAGUCCGCGCUUAGCGCGUAAUCCACUGGUCUAAAGGUAUUGGCAAAACCUAUAUAAGCUUUGGGAAUCGAAGCUUAUGAACCUUGGUGUAAGCUUUCGAGCUACCUCGCUUACGAACCUUAUAUCUUCUUACAGGACGAUCACUGCUAAGAGUUUUACUAGAAAACUCUAUAAAACCUCCUUAGACCUUUACAUGUAGAUCUUAUCUAAGAGUUUUAUCAGGAAACUCUAUAAAAUCAACUUGAAUCUUUGCAAGUAGAUUCAACCUAAGAGUUUUGUCAGGAAACUUUAUAAAACCACUUUGAAUCUUUAAGGUAGAUUUAACUUAAGAGUUUUUCAGAAAACUCUAUAAAACCACACUAAACUUUAUGGUUAAACUUAUAAACCUUAUAAUUAAGUGUUUCUCUUAAGACAACUUUUCAAAACACUUGGAACACACGAAAAUGUUUGAUGGUUGAUCCGCAACAAUAACUUUCAAGAAGGUUAGAAAUAGAAAUGAGAGUUAGAAGUAAGAAGAUGAGCACUUGCUUUGGAGAACACCUUGGGAACCUUAAACACUUGAAGACUUGAAGGCUAGAGCUCUCUUGGAUGCUUGGGCAAUUUUUGGCAAGAAUGAAGAGUGGUGUGUUGCCUUUGAGUGUUGCCCUAAGGUGUGUAUUUAUAACAUGGAAACAUCUUUGAUGACUAUUGG
RNAcentral lists this long non-coding RNA (1257 nucleotides) under Zostera marina. RNAcentral's name for it is "long non-coding RNA (ZMAR_LNC001063)". Lineage: Eukaryota; Viridiplantae; Streptophyta; Magnoliopsida; Alismatales; Zosteraceae. The record is from RNAcentral.